This 117-nucleotide ribosomal RNA is filed under the name uncultured bacterium. RNAcentral describes it as "partial 16S ribosomal RNA". It matches the Rfam family "Bacterial small subunit ribosomal RNA", at positions 1357 to 1482 of the family's 1533-position model. The record is from RNAcentral.
CCGCGGUGAAUACGUUCCCGGACCUUGUACACACCGCCCGUCAAGCCAUGGAAGCUGGGUGUACCUAAAGUCGGUAACCGCAAGGAGCCGCCUAGGGUAAAACUAGUAACUGGGGCU